Molecule: ribosomal RNA, 907 nt
Filed under: Talaromyces flavus
Lineage: Eukaryota; Fungi; Ascomycota; Eurotiomycetes; Eurotiales; Trichocomaceae
Description: partial large subunit ribosomal RNA
Rfam family: Eukaryotic large subunit ribosomal RNA
Source: RNAcentral
GCAUAUCAAUAAGCGGAGGAAAAGAAACCAACCGGGAUUGCCUCAGUAACGGCGAGUGAAGCGGCAAGAGCUCAAAUUUGAAAUCUGGCCCCUUUGGGGUCCGAGUUGUAAUUUGCAGAGGAUGCUUCGGGUGCGGUCCCCGUCUAAGUGCCCUGGAACGGGCCGUCAUAGAGGGUGAGAAUCCCGUCUGGGAUGGGCGGCCGCGCCCGUGUGAAGCUCCUUCGACGAGUCGAGUUGUUUGGGAAUGCAGCUCUAAGCGGGUGGUAAAUUUCAUCUAAAGCUAAAUACUGGCCGGAGACCGAUAGCGCACAAGUAGAGUGAUCGAAAGAUGAAAAGCACUUUGAAAAGAGAGUUAAACAGCACGUGAAAUUGUUGAAAGGGAAGCGUUGUCCMCCAGACUCGCCCGGGGGGGUUCAGCCGGCACGUGUGCCGGUGUACUCCUCUCCGGGCGGGCCAGCAUCGGUUUGGGCGGCUGGUGAAAGGCCCCGGGAAUGUAACACCCUUCGGGGUGCCUUAUAGCCCGGGGUGCCAUACAGCCAGCCUGGACCGAGGCCCGCGCUUCGGCGAGGAUGCUGGCGUAAUGGUGGUCAACGGCCCGUCUUGAAACACGGACCAAGGAGUCUAACAUCUAUGCGAGUGUUCGGGUGUCAAACCCGUCCGCGCAGUGAAAGCGAACGGAGGUGGGAGCCCCUCGGGGCGCACCAUCGACCGAUCCUGAUGUCUUCGGAUGGAUUUGAGUAAGAGCAUAGCUGUUGGGACCCGAAAGAUGGUGAACUAUGCCUGAAUAGGGCGAAGCCAGAGGAAACUCUGGUGGAGGCUCGCAGCGGUUCUGACGUGCAAAUCGAUCGUCAAAUUUGGGUAUAGGGGCGAAAGACUAAUCKAACCAUCUGGUAGCUGGUUCCCUGCC